RNAcentral lists this unclassified non-coding RNA (334 nucleotides) under soil metagenome. Its description in RNAcentral is "partial contains 5.8S ribosomal RNA, internal transcribed spacer 2, and large subunit ribosomal RNA". The stretch from base 1 to 120 matches the Rfam family "5.8S ribosomal RNA", at positions 35 to 154 of the family's 154-position model. The record is from RNAcentral.
GAUGAAGAACGCAGCGAAAUGCGAUAAGUAAUGUGAAUUGCAGAAUUCAGUGAAUCAUCGAAUCUUUGAACGAACAUUGCGCCCGCCAGUAUUCUGGCGGGCAUGCCUGUUCGAGCGUCAUUUCAACCAUCAAGCCCUGCUUGCGUUGGGGUCCUGCGGCUGCCCGCAGGCCCUGAAAACCAGUGGCGGGCUCGCUAGUCACACCGAGCGCAGUAAUACAUCUCGCUUUGGGCGUGCGGCGGGUUCUUGCCGUUAAACACCCCCUUUUUACCAAGGUUGACCUCGGAUCAGGUAGGAAUACCCGCUGAACUUAAGCAUAUCAAUAAGCGGAGGA